Molecule: ribosomal RNA, 408 nt
Filed under: uncultured bacterium
Lineage: Bacteria
Description: bacterial SSU rRNA
Rfam family: Bacterial small subunit ribosomal RNA
Source: RNAcentral
GUGGGGAAUAUUGGGCAAUGGGCGCAAGCCUGACCCAGCAACGCCGCGUGAAGGAAGAAGGCUUUCGGGUUGUAAACUUCUUUUGAGAGGGACGAAACAAAUGACGGUACCUCUUGAAUAAGCCACGGCUAACUACGUGCCAGCAGCCGCGGUAAUACGUAGGUGGCAAGCGUUAUCCGGAUUUAUUGGGUGUAAAGGGCGUGUAGGCGGGACUGCAAGUCAGAUGUGAAAACUCGGGGCUCAACCCCGAGCCUGCAUUUGAAACUGUAGUUCUUGAGUGCUGGAGAGGCAAUCGGAAUUCCGUGUGUAGCGGUGAAAUGCGUAGAUAUACGGAGGAACACCAGUGGCGAAGGCGGAUUGCUGGACAGUAACUGACGCUGAGGCGCGAAAGCGUGGGGAGCAAACAGG